This 394-nucleotide ribosomal RNA is filed under the name Eukaryota sp. Its description in RNAcentral is "partial small subunit ribosomal RNA". It matches the Rfam family "Eukaryotic small subunit ribosomal RNA", at positions 582 to 975 of the family's 1831-position model. The record is from RNAcentral.
AUUCCAGCUCCAAUAGCGUAUAUUAAAUUUGUUGCAGUUAAAACGCUCGUAGUUGAUCUGUAGUCUGAGACUGGCGGUCUGCUAAGAUUCUUAGUGUGUACUUGCCUCUGCUGAGACUUUGUCGCUUGAGCGGUUGUGGACUUCAUUGUGCACUACCGUUGCGGGUGACCGUUUACUUUGAGUAACUUAGAGUGUUCCAAGCAGGUUUUGUUGCCGUGAAUAGCUAAGCAUGGAAUAAUAAUGAUAAGACUCAAGCCCUUAUGUUGGUUGAGGGCUUCGAGUGAAGAUUAAUAGGGAUAGCUGGGGGCAUUGGUAUUUAGCUGUCAGAGGUGAAAUUCUUAGAUUAGCUAAGGACUAUCUACUGCGAAAGCAUUUGCCAAAGAUGUUUUCAUCA